GAGUGGGAAGAAGAUUUGCUAUCAGAUGAGGAGCCUUGAAUGCGAAGAAGAUGUUGGGAGUAUGGACUUCAAUGCACUUCUUCCUUCUUUCUCUUGUAUUUACUCUAGAGAGGCUUUGGUAGGUGAAAAUCACUUUAGCUUUGAAUGGAGUCUCCGUUCUUCCCUUGCUACAGUCCUCUGUGGCUAUUUAAGCCAUUCCCCACGGAAACUAGCCGU
Molecule: long non-coding RNA, 216 nt
Filed under: Phoenix dactylifera (date palm)
Lineage: Eukaryota; Viridiplantae; Streptophyta; Magnoliopsida; Arecales; Arecaceae
Description: long non-coding RNA (PDAC_LNC019609)
Source: RNAcentral